RNAcentral lists this transfer RNA (68 nucleotides) under Candidatus Rokubacteria bacterium RIFCSPHIGHO2_12_FULL_73_22. RNAcentral describes it as "tRNA-Lys". It matches the Rfam family "tRNA". Rfam says of the family: Transfer RNA (tRNA) molecules are approximately 80 nucleotides in length. Their secondary structure includes four short double-helical elements and three loops (D, anti-codon, and T loops). Lineage: Bacteria; Candidatus Rokuibacteriota. The record is from RNAcentral.
GGGCCGUUAGCUCAGUUGGUAGAGCAGCUGACUCUUAAUCAGCGGGUCCAAGGUUCGAGUCCUUGACG